Long non-coding RNA from Hevea brasiliensis (rubber tree), 828 nucleotides. RefSeq lists it as uncharacterized. The transcript has 2 exons. NCBI's taxonomy places the organism in Eukaryota, Viridiplantae, Streptophyta, Magnoliopsida, Malpighiales, Euphorbiaceae. The record is from RefSeq and is a predicted model, not a curated record.
AAAAAAAAAAUCAUUCUUUUUUGACCAGUACCUCUAUCACAAUGUGACAGUUUGAGCUUCAAGAGCCCUCUUCUUUAUAAAUGAUGAAGAAAUACAAGCUUGGAUAUUAUAAUUUAUUUUUCCUGCUUCUCUAGUUUGCUAUUUCAUCAGGAGCUGCUGCAGUUGCUGCAAUCAGUUCAGGGAAAAGGCCUGAGAAUGCUGGAAAGCUCAUUAAAGUUAUAUUUCCAAGCUUUGGUGAGAAGUAUGUACCUACAGUUCUUUUUCAAGCAAUAUAUGAAAAGUCUCAAAAUAAGCAAACAAGAUAGUCAAGAUAUCUCAGAAGUUGGAGAAUUUCUUGUAUUUUCAAUUGCCUACCAUUGUCUUACCUCAGUGGGUAAAUUGUUUAGACUUUACAUGAUUUUCAGUGAAUGUUAUUGGAUCACUUAAGCUGAAUCCUCUCUCUCUGCAGGUGGUUUAAUUUUUUGGGAAAUUCAGAGAAGCAGAAUUUUAAUGUAGAUCAAAAGUCCAAUAUAGAUUUUGUUUUCUUUCAUAUUUUGGUCUCCCUUUUUCUGUAAGGCUGACCAAAGAUGCCGGGAUGCUUAUCAUGUCAUCACAUGCUACAACCUAUCACUGCAGGGUAGAUUUGGAUCAAACAGUCAUGUCAGCAAUGAAGCUGUUGUAGCUUGUAAAAAUUUCAUGCCUUACUAUGCAUCAGAAUUCAGAAUCUAGUGUAAAUUCUUAAAGAACUCACCGCCUAAUGGCAUAUAAGUUCUUCUGAUCGCAUCACACAGAAUAAGAUAGAUGAACCAUUUCCUUGUGGAAUAAAAUUUCAGAUAUCAGCUUCUUGCC